UACGAAGGGGGCAAGCGUUGUUCGGAUUUACUGGGCGUAAAGGGCGCGUAGGCGGUCAGCACAAGUCAGUUGUGAAAUCUCCGAGCUUAACUCGGAAAGGUCAACUGAUACUGUGCGACUAGAGUGCAGAAGGGGCAACUGGAAUUCUUGGUGUAGCAGUGAAAUGCGUAGAUAUCAAGAGGAACACCUGCGGCGAAGGCGGGUUGCUGGGCUGACACUGACGCUGAGGCGCGAAAGCCAGGGGAGCGAACGGG
This 254-nucleotide ribosomal RNA is filed under the name uncultured bacterium. RNAcentral describes it as "partial 16S ribosomal RNA". It matches the Rfam family "Bacterial small subunit ribosomal RNA", at positions 524 to 776 of the family's 1533-position model. The record is from RNAcentral.